UACGUAGGGUGCGAGCGUUAAUCGGAAUUACUGGGCGUAAAGCGUGCGCAGGCGGCCGCGCAAGUCGAGUGUGAAAUCCCCGAGCUUAACUUGGGAAUUGCGCUCGAAACUACGUGGCUGGAGUGUGGCAGAGGAAGGUGGAAUUCCACGUGUAGCGGUGAAAUGCGUAGAUAUGUGGAGGAACACCGAUGGCGAAGGCAGCCUUCUGGGCCAGCACUGACGCUCAUGCACGAAAGCGUGGGGAGCAAACAGG
RNAcentral lists this ribosomal RNA (253 nucleotides) under uncultured bacterium. RNAcentral describes it as "partial 16S ribosomal RNA". It matches the Rfam family "Bacterial small subunit ribosomal RNA", at positions 524 to 776 of the family's 1533-position model. The record is from RNAcentral.